Molecule: transfer RNA, 65 nt
Filed under: Inocellia crassicornis
Lineage: Eukaryota; Metazoa; Arthropoda; Insecta; Raphidioptera; Inocelliidae
Description: tRNA-Asp
Source: RNAcentral
AAAGAAUUAGUUAAAAUAUAACAUUAAUAUGUCAUAUUAAAAUUAUUUAUUGAAAAUAUUCUUUU